This 415-nucleotide long non-coding RNA is filed under the name Helianthus annuus (common sunflower). RNAcentral's name for it is "hypothetical non coding rna". The record is from RNAcentral. Lineage: Eukaryota; Viridiplantae; Streptophyta; Magnoliopsida; Asterales; Asteraceae.
GUGGUGGUUCUGCGACUCGGAAAGGAGAACGGGUGCUUGGAGGUCUUAUAGGACAAGCGACAGUGGGAAAGAAGGAGCCGCCACCAUGGCUUUGGCCACGGCGAAAGCUAAGGUUUCCAUAUGAGAUCUUCGGCGAUUCAAAUCAGUUUUCGGCAGCUAUGAUUCUCGUCUUUUAUUUUCUGUAGUUGUAACAUGCAUUCUAACAGAUGCUAUAAAAGCCGCCACUGGACGACAUUGACUGGCUAUCUCUUUUGGCAUUGCUUUUGGGUGGAACUAAUGCAUAUAAAACUUUAUAUCAUUUUCUUAAGGUAAAAAAAAAAUGAUACUUAACAACUACGAUGUACAUCUUUUAGCAGCAGCAGGCUCCCAACAUUUGUGGGUAAAAAUGUACCUUUUCAGUGGUGCAACAUUUGUA